Molecule: long non-coding RNA, 665 nt
Organism: Oncorhynchus gorbuscha (pink salmon)
Lineage: Eukaryota; Metazoa; Chordata; Actinopteri; Salmoniformes; Salmonidae
Exons: 3
Source: RefSeq, a predicted model, not a curated record
AUGCUGAACAAGGUGGCUGCAGAGGAACCACGCUCUCCUGUCUCUCCCCCACUUGAGUCUGAUAUCAUCCCAGAGCAAUUCUGCAGCAGUGUAGAGCUCUGUCUCUAUGGUGCACUGUGAUUGCUCAAAUAUCUGCCCUGCUGCCGUCACCCCGAGGGCGGGUGGAGCUGCUGUCCAUUUUCUUCUAGCAUGUGCUGUCUGGAUGGUGUCCACUGCCUUCCUUGUGGUUAUAAGUGUGACCGCAUACACACUAAGUGUCUAAGACUGAUGGCCCGAGGUACCCCUUUAUUCCGAGGCAGGCCCACUUCCUUCCUAUGAUCAAACUCACCAAGAUAUCCAAGGUCAACGACCAGCAGGUCCCAUGGACACUACUUGGUUGCCGUUGACAGCAGCCAACAUGGCUGGGUUAUUCACUUCCACAGGAAAUCAACUGACCUCCAGCUACAGUAACCCGUUGUGGCAGGGGAAACACUGGAAAAUACUGUUGUCUACAGCUAUCUAAGCCAAACUAACAAUAUUGUAUUUUGAAUUACAUUUUGCCUAACUACUGAGAUUGGGAUUGUACACUUUUUGUGAAUGCAUUAUAUGUACAUGAAUGGGGAAUCAUGACACCCACUCAUUGUUGAUUUCAUAAAACAGACAGGUCAAUAAAAUAAAUGAUAAUU